Non-coding RNA from Paramuricea clavata, 407 nucleotides. The record is from the annotation of a GenBank genome assembly. Lineage: Eukaryota; Metazoa; Cnidaria; Anthozoa; Malacalcyonacea; Plexauridae.
UUCUAGUUUAUUUUUCACGUUUUUUGCCAAGGAAAUUGAGCCCUUUGUGUUUAAAUGCAGACCAUGGGUAUUUAAUUAUCUGGCGUUUAUCGAUGUUAUUAAUGUCUAUUAGACCCCAGUUUGCUCGAUACAUAAAUCAUUAAGCAGUUUAUUACAUUUUCUUACCUUCGUAACCAAUUAUAAAGAUAGGUCGUGAACAUUAAAAGCAAAGUGACUAAAUAUAUAGUGAUGUGGUUUAGCAAUCCCUUUUGAUAUUAAUAAUUAACUAACUUAAGGUGCUUUUCUAUAGCAUACAGAAAAGCACCUUAAUCCCGUAAUUGCCUCAUUGAAGAUGUCACUGGACCUUCAAAUGUUAAAUUAACACUUUAUCCAAAUGUUUCAAUAGUCAAACGAGAUAUAUAUUCUUG